AGCUUUGAUCCGUAGAUAUCCGAAGUGGGGAAACCCGGCGCGCAAGCGUCACUCCCACCUGAAUAUAUAGGGUGGGUAGAGCGAACGCAGCGAACUGAAACAUCUAAGUAGCUGCAGGAAAAGAAUCAACCGAGAUUCCCAAAGUAGUGGCGAGCGAAAUGGGAAGAGCCUGUAUGUGAUAGUCAACUGGUUAGUGGAACGGAAUGGAAAGUCCGGCGAUAGAGGGUGAUAGCCCCCGUACACCGAAAACUGGUUGGUGGUACUGAGCAUACGACAAGUAGGGCGGGGCACGAGAAACCCUGUCCUGAACAUGGGGGGACCAUCCUCCAAGGCUAAAUACUCGUAAUCGACCGAUAGUGAACCCAGUACCGUGAGGGAAAGGCGAAAAAGAACCCCGGGAGGGGAGUGAAAUAGAACCUGAAACCGUGUGCAUACAAACAGUG
Molecule: ribosomal RNA, 443 nt
Filed under: uncultured bacterium
Lineage: Bacteria
Description: bacterial LSU rRNA
Rfam family: Bacterial large subunit ribosomal RNA
Source: RNAcentral